UACGUAGGGUGCAAGCGUUGUCCGGAAUUAUUGGGCGUAAAGAGCUCGUAGGCGGUUUGUUGCGUCGGCUGUGAAAUCCCGAGGCUCAACCUCGGGUCUGCAGUCGAUACGAGCAAACUAGAGUGUUGCAGGGGAGACUGGAAUUCCUGGUGUAGCGGUGAAAUGCGCAGAUAUCAGGAGGAACACCAGCGGCGAAGGCGGUGCUCUGGGGCCGGAACUGACGCUGAGGAGCGAAAAGCGUGGGGGAGCGAACAGG
RNAcentral lists this ribosomal RNA (256 nucleotides) under uncultured bacterium. RNAcentral's name for it is "partial 16S ribosomal RNA". It matches the Rfam family "Bacterial small subunit ribosomal RNA", at positions 524 to 776 of the family's 1533-position model. The record is from RNAcentral.